This 253-nucleotide ribosomal RNA is filed under the name uncultured bacterium. RNAcentral's name for it is "partial 16S ribosomal RNA". It matches the Rfam family "Bacterial small subunit ribosomal RNA", at positions 524 to 776 of the family's 1533-position model. The record is from RNAcentral.
UACGAAGGGGGCUAGCGUUGCUCGGAAUCACUGGGCGUAAAGGGUGCGUAGGCGGGUCUUUAAGUCCGGGGUGAAAUCCUGGAGCUCAACUCCGGAACUGCCUUUGAUACUGAAGAUCUUGAGUUCGGGAGAGGUGAGUGGAACUGCGAGUGUAGAGGUGAAAUUCGUAGAUAUUCGCAAGAACACCUGUGGCGAAAGCGGCUCACUGGACCAUAACUGACGCUGAUGCACGAAAGCUGGGGGAGCAAACAGG